Molecule: ribosomal RNA, 539 nt
Filed under: Penicillium corylophilum
Lineage: Eukaryota; Fungi; Ascomycota; Eurotiomycetes; Eurotiales; Aspergillaceae
Description: SSU rRNA
Rfam family: Bacterial small subunit ribosomal RNA
Source: RNAcentral
UUGGUCAAUGGCCGAAAGGCUGAACCAGUAACUUGGAAGAAUGUAAGUGUAUUUGUAUAAAUACAAUAGCGAUUAAUUCGCAUAAAAUUCUAAAUAGAUAUAUUAUAAUGACAUAAUCUAUUUAUAAGUCUUGACCAAACUACGUGCCAGCAGUCGCGGUAAUACGUAGAAGGCUAGUGUUAGUUAUCAUUAUUGGGUUUAAAGGGUGUGUAGACAGUAAAUUAAACUUUAAAAGAGUACUUUUUUACUAGAGUUAUAUGUGAGAAGGAAGAAUUUCUGGAGUAGAGAUAAAAUCUUUUGAUACCAGAAGGACUGUCAACGGCGAAGGCGUCCUUCUAUGUAAUAACUGACGUUGAGAUACGAAGGCUUGGGUAGCAAACAGGAUUAGAUACCCUAAUAGUCCAAGCAGACAAUGAUGAAUGUCAUACAUUAGAGAAAUUUAAUGUAUAAACGAAAGUGUAAGCAUUCCACCUCAAGAGUACUAUGGCAACAUAUAAACUGAAAUCAUUAGACCGUUUUUGAAACCAGUAGUGAAGUAU